UGGGAUCAUGGCGGAGAAUCACUGAGAGCU
Molecule: non-coding RNA, 30 nt
Filed under: Cricetulus griseus (Chinese hamster)
Lineage: Eukaryota; Metazoa; Chordata; Mammalia; Rodentia; Cricetidae
Source: RNAcentral